This 220-nucleotide ribosomal RNA is filed under the name uncultured bacterium. Its description in RNAcentral is "partial 16S ribosomal RNA". It matches the Rfam family "Bacterial small subunit ribosomal RNA", at positions 1283 to 1500 of the family's 1533-position model. The record is from RNAcentral.
CAUUCUCAGUUCGGAUUGUAGGCUGAAACUCGCCUACAUGAAGCUGGAGUUACUGGUAAUCGCAGAUCAGAAUGCUGCGGUGAAUGCGUUCCCGGGUCUUGUACACACCGCCCGUCACACCACGGAAGUUGGGGGCGCCCGAAGCCACUUAGCUAACCCUUUUGGGAAGCGAGCGUCGAAGGUGAAAUCAAUAACUGGGGUGAAGUCGUAACAAGGUACC